RNAcentral lists this ribosomal RNA (253 nucleotides) under uncultured bacterium. RNAcentral's name for it is "partial 16S ribosomal RNA". It matches the Rfam family "Bacterial small subunit ribosomal RNA", at positions 524 to 776 of the family's 1533-position model. The record is from RNAcentral.
UACGUAGGGUGCUAGCGUUGUCCGGAAUCAUUGGGCGUAAAGCGCGUGUAGGCGGUCCGGUAAGUCCGCUGUGAAAGUCGGGGGCUCAACCCUCGAAUGCCGGUGGAUACUGUCGGGCUAGAGUGCGGAAGAGGCGAGUGGAAUUCCUGGUGUAGCGGUGAAAUGCGCAGAUAUCAGGAGGAACACCAAUUGCGAAGGCAGCUCGCUGGGACGUAACUGACGCUGAGACGCGAAAGCGUGGGGAGCAAACAGG